This 170-nucleotide small nucleolar RNA is filed under the name Ananas comosus (pineapple). RNAcentral describes it as "small nucleolar RNA snoR143". It matches the Rfam family "small nucleolar RNA snoR143". The record is from Rfam by way of RNAcentral. Lineage: Eukaryota; Viridiplantae; Streptophyta; Magnoliopsida; Poales; Bromeliaceae.
UUGCACCUUCCAAUAACGAAAGUUUCACCUGCUUGUUAUGGUGGUGUGACUUUUAUUGUUGGUGCGGAAAGGAAAAGCUGUCUUUGACAGCAGCGGCCAGACAACCGUAGGGAUGGAUCCACAGGUGAAUGGGUUGAAUUCCAUUUGUCUACUGAUUCCAUCUCACAUUA